CUGGGGGGAACGGUUCCUAGACGCCCUGGUGUAGGAUGGGGCCGUAGUUCCGUUUCUCCCCCUUGUGCCUCGGCGUCCUGGGUGGCUGCAGAGGUCCCUUCACCACUGGCAUCUGAUGCCUCCAUCCUUGAAUAUCUAGAAGGAUAAGGAAGGGAGCAACCCAGACAACCGUCACCAGCCGCAGUAGUUCAUUCUGGGGUGUGCACCCGCCUGGGACCCGAGGACGUUUCCACAAGAGACCAGCAUUGGAAUCUGUGGCCUGAAGAAAGGCACGCCCCUCCCACUAAACCUGGACAUUGGCCCUCUCCUUCCUUCAGAGCGGAACUCUCACCCUCAGCUCUCCUGGGUCUCCAGUUUGCUGACUGCAGAUCUUUGGACUUCACCUCCCCAAUAAAUGUGAG
Molecule: non-coding RNA, 401 nt
Organism: Oryctolagus cuniculus (rabbit)
Lineage: Eukaryota; Metazoa; Chordata; Mammalia; Lagomorpha; Leporidae
Source: RefSeq, a predicted model, not a curated record